Molecule: ribosomal RNA, 253 nt
Filed under: uncultured bacterium
Lineage: Bacteria
Description: partial 16S ribosomal RNA
Rfam family: Bacterial small subunit ribosomal RNA
Source: RNAcentral
UACGUAGGCAGCAAGCGUUGUUCGGAGUUGCUGGGCGUAAAGAGUGCGUAGGUGGUGCCCUAAGUCUGUUGUGAAAUCUCCCGGCUUAACUGGGAGGGUGCGGUGGAAACUGGGGUGCUUGAGUGUGGGAGAGGUAAGCGGAAUUCCUGGUGUAGCGGUGAAAUGCGUAGAUAUCAGGAGGAACACCGGUGGUGUAGACGGCUUACUGGACCACGACUGACACUGAGGCACGAAAGCCAGGGGAGCAAACGGG